GAUGAAGAACGUAGCGAAAUGCGAUAAGUAAUGCGAAUUGCAGAAUUUCCGUGAGUCAUCGAAUCUUUGAACGCACAUUGCGCCCAUUGGUAUUCCGAUGGGCAUGCCUGUUCGAGCGUCAUUAUCCCCCCUCAAGCCUUCGGUUUGGUGUUGGACCCAUGUUGUGUAAUGAACAACUGGUCUCAAAGACAAUGACGGCGUCCGUGGGACCCUCGAUGCAACGAGCUUUUAAGGAGCAAGCGUCGAGUUGCAAGGACCCUCCGGGCCGGUCUCCUCUAUCUAUUUUACUAGGUUGACCUCGGAUCAGGUAGGAAUACCCGCUGAACUUAAGCAUAUCAAUAAGCGGAGGA
This 350-nucleotide unclassified non-coding RNA is filed under the name soil metagenome. RNAcentral's name for it is "partial contains 5.8S ribosomal RNA, internal transcribed spacer 2, and large subunit ribosomal RNA". The stretch from base 1 to 121 matches the Rfam family "5.8S ribosomal RNA", at positions 35 to 154 of the family's 154-position model. The record is from RNAcentral.